Molecule: ribosomal RNA, 460 nt
Filed under: uncultured bacterium
Lineage: Bacteria
Description: partial 16S ribosomal RNA
Rfam family: Bacterial small subunit ribosomal RNA
Source: RNAcentral
CCUACGGGUGGCAGCAGUGAGGAAUAUUGGUCAAUGGACGAGAGUCUGAACCAGCCAAGUAGCGUGAAGGAUGACUGCCCUAUGGGUUGUAAACUUCUUUUAUAAAGGGAUAAAACGAGGCACGUGUGCCUUUUUGCAUGUACUUUAUGAAUAAGGAUCGGCUAACUCCGUGCCAGCAGCCGCGGUAAUACGGAGGAUCCGAGCGUUAUCCGGAUUUAUUGGGUUUAAAGGGAGCGUAGAUGGGUUGUUAAGUCAGUUGUGAAAGUUUGCGGCUCAACCGUAAAAUUGCAAUUGAUACUGGCAGUCUAGAGUACAGUUGAGGUAGGCGGAAUUCGUGGUGUAGCGGUGAAAUGCUUAGAUAUCACGAAGAACCCCGAUUGCGAAGGCAGCUUACUAAACUGUGACUGACAUUGAUGCUCGAAAGUGUGGGUAUCAAACAGGAUUAGAUACCCCAGUAGUC